AUUGAACGCUGGCGGAAUGCUUUACACAUGCAAGUCGAACGGCAGCACGGGGGCAGCCCUGGUGGCGAGUGGCGAACGGGUGAGUAAUACAUCGGAACGUGCCCGGUCGUGGGGGAUAACGUAGCGAAAGUUACGCUAAUACCGCAUACGAUCUGAGGAUGAAAGCGGGGGACCUUCGGGCCUCGCGCGAUCGGGGCGGCCGAUGUCAGAUUAGGUAGUUGGUGGGGUAAAGGCCUACCAAGCCGACGAUCUGUAGCUGGUCUGAGAGGACGACCAGCCACACUGGGACUGAGACACGGCCCAGACUCCUACGGGAGGCAGCAGUGGGGAAUUUUGGACAAUGGGCGCAAGCCUGAUCCAGCCAUUCCGCGUGCAGGACGAAGGCCUUCGGGUUGUAAACUGCUUUUGUACGGAACGAAAAGGCUCUGGCUAAUACCUGGGGCUCAUGACGGUACCGUAAGAAUAAGCACCGGCUAACUACGUG
RNAcentral lists this ribosomal RNA (484 nucleotides) under uncultured bacterium. RNAcentral describes it as "partial 16S ribosomal RNA". It matches the Rfam family "Bacterial small subunit ribosomal RNA", at positions 30 to 507 of the family's 1533-position model. The record is from RNAcentral.